Melanotaenia boesemani (Boeseman's rainbowfish) is the source of this 202-nucleotide long non-coding RNA. RefSeq lists it as uncharacterized. NCBI's taxonomy places the organism in Eukaryota, Metazoa, Chordata, Actinopteri, Atheriniformes, Melanotaeniidae. The record is from RefSeq and is a predicted model, not a curated record. The transcript has 3 exons.
GCUGGCAAGAGGCAUGGAGCAAGAUAUCGUUGCAGCUGAAAAAAGAAGAAUGAACACCCCAGCAAGAAUUAAUAAAAAAGAGAUGCCCAAAAGAGCGCGAAACCCACCGAAGAAGCUUAGUUUUUAUGAACCAGAUCCCGGCUCACCCAGAGAUGACCAACAUGGACUUUUUGUAUUUUUGACAUUUGAAGAUGGAUACACA